RNAcentral lists this long non-coding RNA (219 nucleotides) under Elaeis guineensis (African oil palm). RNAcentral describes it as "long non-coding RNA (EGUI_LNC038825)". The record is from RNAcentral. Lineage: Eukaryota; Viridiplantae; Streptophyta; Magnoliopsida; Arecales; Arecaceae.
GUACUUCCGAGCGGCAUCGAUAUCAAACAAUGCAAAAGUCGAAGGAAGCUCGGCAAAUGACAAUUCAAUACAUGAGUAAAGGAGGUAACGAAAAAUUCCCUUUGCAUUAAUUAAGUAUAUAUUAAGAGCCCUUGAGGCUGAAGAAGAAAGAUGACGAGACAAGCAAGCUGAUGCGGUGACGACCAAGAACCUCUAGACAACAUCGGCAUCAAAAAGAAG